UUGGUACAUUUUUAAUAGAAUAUAUAAGACGUGGUGGUUGCUAUGUGUAUCCAAAUGGUUCAUGGGGAUUAUUUCAAUAUGUUUGGUGGAGACGAGAUUGGUCCGAGGCUCCUACUCCAAUAAAAUUUGCGCAUCUCCUUUACCUUACAAUGAAUUUUAUGACUUUUGGAAUUUUGUUUGUACAAAUGUUCGAUACUAAAGGGUGGU
Molecule: long non-coding RNA, 207 nt
Filed under: Elaeis guineensis (African oil palm)
Lineage: Eukaryota; Viridiplantae; Streptophyta; Magnoliopsida; Arecales; Arecaceae
Description: long non-coding RNA (EGUI_LNC015553)
Source: RNAcentral